Molecule: unclassified non-coding RNA, 284 nt
Filed under: Hevea brasiliensis (rubber tree)
Lineage: Eukaryota; Viridiplantae; Streptophyta; Magnoliopsida; Malpighiales; Euphorbiaceae
Source: RNAcentral
AACAGAACAAGUCUAAUUCAAAAGUUAAAUAUGAUGUUCAAUGCUAUUGAUGCAUAGAGUUUGAACAUAUUAAAAGAGAUUGUCCAAUAACUAAGAAAAAAAUGGAGGAACACGGUAGAGAAUGUUCUAUGGUACUAGACCUAGGAUGAAUUUCAUUAAAGCGUAACACAGGAAAGUUUCAUUCGUAAGGAGGCAAAGGAAAAAAACAAUUUUUUGUGUGUGUUUCUUUUUAUUUAUUUCUUUUUAUGUAGAGAAUUAUUGGAAUUAAAAAGAAAUUAAAAAAG